RNAcentral lists this ribosomal RNA (2764 nucleotides) under Triticum aestivum (bread wheat). Its description in RNAcentral is "partial small subunit ribosomal RNA". The record is from RNAcentral. Lineage: Eukaryota; Viridiplantae; Streptophyta; Magnoliopsida; Poales; Poaceae.
CAUACAAUGUAGCUUCUGCAUUUACGCCCGAUGCGCUAGAAAGAGCCUUCUGCGUGCGGUAUACCAUCGUGGCGUUCCUUAAACGAGAUCCUAAAAAAGACACGGGAGGAGGGGGAACGAGGGCUGGAGCCGGGAGGGUAGCAGCGGCUGGUGGAGUAGGUGGCGGCGUCCGGUUUGAGGCUGAGUCAUGUUGACUCGGGAUUGGCUAUGACAGGAUCGCGGCCGGGCUAGAGCAACGGAGGUCCCUCGCGUACCCCGAUGCGACAACUCCGAACGGUCACGGGGUGCCACCGCGCGCGGCUCCGGCACCUUUCGUCUUCGUCGGCGUCUUAGGCGCUCGACUAGGUGCUCGGGGCUCCAUAGGCGUGAAGGACUCAGCGUCGUCGCGCUCCUCCCCACUGUCUACCUGCUCAAGCUCUCGCCGCUAUUCCCUUAGCGGCCCGGGCGGGGCCCGGGGCCGCGACCGCUGCUGCCGUUGAGACGCGGCGAGGGACUCUGCCACGUUUAACCUUUAAGUGGUUGGAUAUUCGAACCUUCCUUCGAACCUUUCCCACCUAAACCUGUUCAUAUACAACCAGCUGCACAAAGGAGAGGGUCAGAACCACUAUCUUUGGGACCACGUUUACGAAACCUCCAACGUAAUUUCAAACUUGUAGCUUGAUCGUUUCCAACGUUAAUACCUCGAGGUAGACUCACCGUCCAAAUGUUGUGAGAAUCACCUUUAGUACCACAGGGUGCCCAUGUGAUGUUUCCUUUCGUCCCGCUCAAAAUGUAGUACCAAUACCUAUACAACCCUGGUUCGGACACCCUACAAACCUUAUUAUUAAGGGUAAGCUACAGACAACUUUACCAACGGACGUAUCGAUAUCUUCGGUAGAGGUAUGACCUUUUCUACGUGAGUUUUCCCAUACAGGUACCACUACACUUUGGACUCUUGAAAGACGAACCAGGCACACCAUGGGACCUUCUCUUCUUUGAAAAAGAACAACUAGAACCUGACCGAUGCUUUACCUUCCCACGACCAUUGCCCGUGUAACUUAUGCUGGUCUCCGGACUACAUAAAUCCCCUUGACAAGCAAUACGAUCACACGUACGAGUGAACCCUUCUUGACCUUCAUCCUCUCUACUGGAACUUAGGGAGCGGAUGUGUGAAUAAAAAGAAGAGGCACCUGCGGAUGGAACCGUUCCUAUGGUCCCUCUGUUGUUUCCAAAAGAACAGUCGUUCUUUUUCUACCGCUGGAGAGGACUUAGAGACACACCGUAAACAGGUGUCAGAAAAGCUGUGAAACAACUCAUACAACACUUGAACUUCAAACUGCUUCUUGGAUUAAUGCGGUUCACGUAGAGAGAAAAACUGCCGUAACAACCAGGUGUAGGUCUGUGGUCUGGUUAUUUGUGUCUACCACGAGUCUUCGAUUAUAUAGUCCAGCCAGUCUUCGCCCCGGCGGAGUAUCGUCUCCUUCUACUACUCGUUGGAUUCUUCUUCUAAUCUUACCCUUACGGUCGCUGAGUCACCUAAUCACAGAUGUCACGGGCCGCCGGAUACUUUGUCUCCAUGGUGAUAUUACAACGUCUACUAUCUAAUCAUGUUGUAUAAGACUUUCCUUUACUUCUACCGAACAAAUAUUCAAGUCAAAGGAGAAGGCGUUUAGACACCCGAAAUUAUUACCUACGACCGUGACCAAAAUGACGAGUUCAUAUACUUUAAAGAGUUGUAAAGGAAGUGUUCCUUACCUAGGACCUCGUCACCCUCUCUUUAAUGAUAUAGUGACGUAACCGACCACGCUUAUCACCUUCAAGAAAUCACUAGUACAGUUCUCCUUGUUGCAUACGUGUUGUUAGGAUAUUUCAUUCACUACGUAAAGGUAAGUUUACCUAUUUGUUUUUCACCUUCCUCCCGAAGAUACAGUGUAGGUACCGAUGUCGACCUUCAGCUACCCGUCAACAGUACAGGGCUUUACGACCAAAGAGUCUGGUCCAUCACCUCGACCUAAAGAAUAUAGGUUCACUCCCGUAGGUAGUUGCGACCCUAUUACCAAUAGCGUAGUGACGUUGUCGACGGUGUAACCUGGUCCGCCGUAAAUAGAACUCGUAUGGAUCUGCUUUUGGAUUACUACUUUGUGUCCUCUGCGAUUCUUGUAGACGAAAGGGCUCGGUCGUACACUUCCUUUUUACCAGUUUUUUAGACAUGAAUCGUAGGUAGACGAUACCUUCCCGCCGUAGAACUUUCGGGUAAAUGAUUUCAACCAAGAACUGACUGAACCAAGACGAAGAGAUCGAAAUCUGAACCAACACAUAUUGAAACUUGAUAGGUAUAGUAUUACAACAUAUUUGUUUCUUCACAUGAAUUAAUUCACAGUACAUAUAUUUAAAUUCAGACAAACAUGAAACUCUGCUGACCUAACUUUACCGAGAGCUCGUAAGCUGACUAAAUCGACAAGUACAAUGAGACCGGUCGACGACUCCUUUAAAAAGAUCAUGGUAUGUAAUUAAAUAAUAAAACUUAUCAUGUAAAAAUAACCUGACGUUAUCGGUCGCUGGCAAACGAACGGUCCUAUUGUAAACGCUUGCCGCGCCGACCGUCAAAAUCAAACCCUACCGUAAAACCGGUUUUUGUACCGUAAAGUAAAUAAAAUCACGUAAAAAGUAGACUUUUGACGAUGCCAGUCUAGAAAUAGGACACCGACAUUCACAUUCCCCCAGUCAGCGGUCUAUUGUAAGGACAAAAAUAAAACGGGUUUUGUACAACGUGGAAAAAAAACGG